GGCUUUUAAAGUGCUAUGUGAAUAUCCUACCCUAGCAGCUGAAUGUGAAAAAGCCUUCUUCUUUCUGAAAGAGUAAGGAGGUGUAAUAUCAUUCUCAGGAGACAGCAGUGCUCUGACCACAUGGAGCACGAGACUGUCACCAGUGUAAGGCACAAACAGGCAAAGUCAAGCUUUGCAGCAGUACAAAAGCAGCUGCCCUCCAUAGAGACUCGUGUCUCAGCUCAGCAGCUCUUGCUGCUUCAGAGGGGCUGUAGGAGCCACUUGGCUCCAAAAGGAGAGACAGCAGAACUGGGGGGUUAGGAUGCAAGUUGAAGAAUGACUGCUGUGUUUCAGCCGGAGCUUGGCCAGCUCUGUCUGACUCCAGCAACUGAGAGCUUAAGGACAAUGAAUCAUCUUUGCAUCUUGUUUAGUUUCUGUGUUGCAUUUCCUCCUUUAUCAGAGUGACCAUGCUGAGAUGGUUUGCCUCCUUUCAUGCUACACACAUUCCCUUGCUUUGCUUUCUACCUCCUCAUAUGUUCUUUUCUCCUCCAUUUUCUCAAGGGCAAGAUCCACCAGCACUACCAAAGACAUGGACUCUGAACAAGCAGCUUCUUCUGAGUCUUCAACAAACACCCAGAGGAAGAUGGGAAAGAGCUAUUGGUGUAGGAUAGGACCUGGAAUGCCUCUGUUCCCAAGGAAACUGGCUGAGCUGUUUGGCAUAGAGCCUUAUGUGCAGAAGCCCGGCCUUGGGAAUGGAGGUCUGGGCUCCCGGCCGGCUCAGGGGGCCUUGGCCCAGGAGCCCCGGCAGAGGCAGUGGAGCAGCGCUGCCCCCAGGGUCACUGCCAGGGAGGACAAGGUGAAGGCUGAGCAGGGCUCAACCACACACAGAGGUAAGGUGGGAGCUGGGCUGCUCUCUGGCAGGAAGAAGGGUCUUGUGCCAGCCUAGAGAGCCUGUGCACAUCCCCAGGGAACAGUUCUGCCCUGCAUGUGCCCCCUGCAAUGAGCUGUGCUGCUGCCAGUGCCCCGUGCAGCUGUAGGGCUGCUCAGCUGUGGGGCAGGGACAGGAGCAGGAGGCUGCAUGUGCAGCUGAGCCAUGGCUGCAAAGCCCAGGGCUCUGGGCUCCCUGCUGUCCCAGGCCAGCCCAGAGGCCAGGCUGUUCCUGUGGGAGCUCUGUGCUAGUGGGGCAGGGUGUCCCCUGGCCUGCCUCAAGUGGCUGCAGGCAGGAACAUGUUUCCCUGUGCAGCUAUUUAGAAGUUUUCAAGAAAUGUAUGCCAUGGAAUUUGGAGCUUCAGAUGCUUUAGGUUUGCACUGCAUUCUCUGUUACACUUUGUGUUUCCAUUUUGCAGACCGAAUGACUGCAGUGGUCUCAAGGAGGUUACCCUGGGGUCAGGAGUUUCCCUGCCAACUUCCCAGAUUCUCUUACCUUCCAAGGCCUUCCCUUCCAUCCAGAAUUGCCUUUUUCCCCUCAAAGGCCUUACCUAACUCUCUAUUAUUAAGCUGACCAUUCUGCAGGGGUAAAAAAUCCUGAUUUACGAUAUUGGUUACUUUCUACUUUGCCACCACUUGAUUUUAUCCUCUGUGAA
Cyanistes caeruleus (blue tit) is the source of this 1562-nucleotide long non-coding RNA. The record is from Ensembl. Lineage: Eukaryota; Metazoa; Chordata; Aves; Passeriformes; Paridae.